Molecule: ribosomal RNA, 503 nt
Filed under: uncultured bacterium
Lineage: Bacteria
Description: partial 16S ribosomal RNA
Rfam family: Bacterial small subunit ribosomal RNA
Source: RNAcentral
AUUGAACGCUGGCGGCAGGCUUAACACAUGCAAGUCGAGCGGGGUGAUGGUGCUUGCACUAUCACUUAGCGGCGGACGGGUGAGUAAUGCUUAGGAAUCUGCCUAUUAGUGGGGGACAACAUCUCGAAUGGGAUGCUAAUACCGCAUACGUCCUACGGGAGAAAGCAGGGGAUCACUUGUGACCUUGCGCUAAUAGAUGAGCCUAAGUCGGAUUAGCUAGUUGGUGGGGUAAAGGCCUACCAAGGCGACGAUCUGUAGCGGGUCUGAGAGGAUGAUCCGCCACACUGGGACUGAGACACGGCCCAGACUCCUACGGGAGGCAGCAGUGGGGAAUAUUGGACAAUGGGGGGAACCCUGAUCCAGCCAUGCCGCGUGUGUGAAGAAGGCCUUAUGGUUGUAAAGCACUUUAAGCGAGGAGGAGGCUCUUUUGGUUAAUACCCAGAAUGAGUGGACGUUACUCGCAGAAUAAGCACCGGCUAACUCUGUGCCAGCAGCCGCAGUAA